Non-coding RNA from Zea mays, 74 nucleotides. The record is from Rfam. Lineage: Eukaryota; Viridiplantae; Streptophyta; Magnoliopsida; Poales; Poaceae.
GGCCUAUUAACUUAGUUGGUUAGAGCAUCGUGCUAAUAACGCGUAGGUCGCACGUUCGAGACCUGCAUGGGCCA